CCUACGGGUGGCAGCAGUGAGGAAUAUUGGUCAAUGGACGAGAGUCUGAACCAGCCAAGCAGCGUGCAGGAUGACUGCCCUAUGGGUUGUAAACUUCUUUUAUAUGGGACUAAAAUGUUCCACGUGUGGGAUUUUGUAUGUACCAUAUGAAUAAGGAUCGGCUAACUCCGUGCCAGCAGCCGCGGUAAUACGGAGGAUCCGAGCGUUAUCCGGAUUUAUUGGGUUUAAAUGGAGCGUAGGUGGAUUGUUAAGUCAGUUGUGAAAGUUUGCGGCUCAACCGUAAAAUUGCAGUUGAAACUGGCAGUCUUGAGUACAGUAGAGGUGGGCGGAAUUAGUGGUGUAGCGGUGAAAUGCUUAGAUAUCACGAAGAACUCCGAUUGCGAAGGCAGUUCACUGGACUGCAACUGACACGGAGGCUCGAAAGUGUGGGUAUCAAACAGGAUUAGAUACCCUUGUAGUC
RNAcentral lists this ribosomal RNA (460 nucleotides) under uncultured bacterium. RNAcentral's name for it is "partial 16S ribosomal RNA". It matches the Rfam family "Bacterial small subunit ribosomal RNA", at positions 338 to 795 of the family's 1533-position model. The record is from RNAcentral.